Molecule: transfer RNA, 73 nt
Filed under: Anaerolineaceae bacterium
Lineage: Bacteria; Bacillati; Chloroflexota; Anaerolineae; Anaerolineales; Anaerolineaceae
Also listed under: 2 other names
Description: tRNA-Glu
Rfam family: tRNA
About the family: Transfer RNA (tRNA) molecules are approximately 80 nucleotides in length. Their secondary structure includes four short double-helical elements and three loops (D, anti-codon, and T loops).
Source: RNAcentral
GCCCCCUUCGUCUAGAGGACUAGGACACCACCCUUUCAAGGUGGCGACACGGGUUCGAAUCCCGUAGGGGGCA